GACGAACGCUGGCGGCGUGCUUAACACAUGCAAGUCGAACGGAAAGGCCCCCUUGUGGGGUACUCGAGUGGCGAACGGGUGAGUAACACGUGAGUAACCUACCCUUGACUUUUGGAUAACUUCAGGAAACUGGGGCUAAUACCGGAUAGGAGCUCCUGCUGCAUGGUGGGGGUUGGAAAGUUUCGGCGGUUGGGGAUGGACUCGCGGCUUAUCAGCUUGUUGGGGGGGUAGUGGCUCACCAAGGCUUUGACGGGUAGCCGGCCUGAGAGGGUGACCGGCCACAUUGGGACUGAGAUACGGCCCAGACUCCUACGGGAGGCAGCAGUGGGGAAUAUUGCACAAUGGGCGGAAGCCUGAUGAAGAAACGCCGCGUGCGGGAUGACGGCCUUCGGGUUGUAAACCGCUUUCGCCUGAGACGAAGCGUGAGUGACGGUAAUGGGUAAAGAAGCACCGGCUAACUACGUG
This 465-nucleotide ribosomal RNA is filed under the name uncultured bacterium. RNAcentral describes it as "partial 16S ribosomal RNA". It matches the Rfam family "Bacterial small subunit ribosomal RNA", at positions 28 to 507 of the family's 1533-position model. The record is from RNAcentral.